AGAUUUGAUCCUGGCUCAGAUUGAACGCUGGCGGCAUGCCUUACACAUGCAAGUCGAACGGCAGCACGGGUGCUUGCACCUGGUGGCGAGUGGCGAACGGGUGAGUAAUACAUCGGAACAUGUCCUGUAGUGGGGGAUAGCCCGGCGAAAGCCGGAUUAAUACCGCAUACGAUCUACGGAUGAAAGCGGGGGACCUUCGGGCCUCGCGCUAUAGGGUUGGCCGAUGGCUGAUUAGCUAGUUGGUGGGGUAAAGGCCUACCAAGGCGACGAUCAGUAGCUGGUCUGAGAGGACGACCAGCCACACUGGGACUGAGACACGGCCCAGACUCCUNACGGGAGGCAGCAGUGGGGAAUUUUGGACAAUGGGCGAAAGCCUGAUCCAGCAAUGCCGCGUGUGUGAAGAAGGCCUUCGGGUUGUAAAGCACUUUUGUCCGGAAAGAAAUCCUUGCUCUAAUACAGUCGGGGAUGACGUACCGGAAGAAUAAGCACCGCUAACUA
This 498-nucleotide ribosomal RNA is filed under the name Burkholderia cepacia. Its description in RNAcentral is "bacterial SSU rRNA". It matches the Rfam family "Bacterial small subunit ribosomal RNA", at positions 9 to 503 of the family's 1533-position model. The record is from RNAcentral. Lineage: Bacteria; Pseudomonadati; Pseudomonadota; Betaproteobacteria; Burkholderiales; Burkholderiaceae.